GAUGAAGAACGCAGCGAAAUGCGAUAAGUAAUGUGAAUUGCAGAAUUCAGUGAAUCAUCGAAUCUUUGAACGCACAUUGCGCCCGCUAGUAUUCUGGCGGGCAUGCCUGUCCGAGCGUCAUUUCAACCCUCAAGCCCCCGGGCUUGGUGUUGGGGAUCGGCGAGCCUCCGCGCCCGCCGUCCCCUAAAUCUAGUGGCGGUCUCGCUGUAGCUUCCUCUGCGUAGUAGCACACCUCGCACUGGGAAACAGCGCGGCCACGCCGUUAAACCCCCAACUUUUUAUAGUUGACCUCGAAUCAGGUAGGACUACCCGCUGAACUUAAGCAUAUCAAUAAGCGGAGGA
This 342-nucleotide unclassified non-coding RNA is filed under the name soil metagenome. RNAcentral's name for it is "partial contains 5.8S ribosomal RNA, internal transcribed spacer 2, and large subunit ribosomal RNA". The stretch from base 1 to 120 matches the Rfam family "5.8S ribosomal RNA", at positions 35 to 154 of the family's 154-position model. The record is from RNAcentral.